This 407-nucleotide ribosomal RNA is filed under the name uncultured bacterium. RNAcentral describes it as "partial 16S ribosomal RNA". It matches the Rfam family "Bacterial small subunit ribosomal RNA", at positions 28 to 526 of the family's 1533-position model. The record is from RNAcentral.
GAUGAACGCUAGCGACAGGCUUAACACAUGCAAGUCGAGGGAACGGCGCAAGGGUGCGUAACGCGUAUGCAACUUGCCUCACAGAGGGGGAUAACCCGUCGAAAGACGGACUAAUACAGCGUACUGUGAGAGAGGCAUGCGUCCCAUUAGCUAGUUGGUGAGGUAACGGCUCACCAAGGCAACGAUGGGUAGGGGAACUGAGAGGUUGCACCCCCACACUGGUACUGAGGCACGGACCCGACUCCUACGGCAGGCAGCAGUGAGGAAUAUUUGUCAAUGGGCGAGAGCCUGAACCAGCCACGUCUCGUGAAGGAUGACUGUCUAUGUAUUGUAAACUUCUUUUGUAGGGGAAUAUGUACCCUACGAAUAAGCAUCGGCUAACUCCGUGCCAGCAGCCGCGGUAAUUC